Molecule: ribosomal RNA, 459 nt
Filed under: uncultured bacterium
Lineage: Bacteria
Description: bacterial SSU rRNA
Rfam family: Bacterial small subunit ribosomal RNA
Source: RNAcentral
UACGGAAGGCAGCAGUGGGGAAUAUUGCACAAUGGGCGAAAGCCUGAUGCAGCUAUGCCGCGUGUAUGAAGAAGGCCUUAGGGUUGUAAAGUACUUUCAUCGGGGAGGAAAAAACAAAACUAAUAAUUUUAUUUCUUGACGUUACCCGAAAAAGAAGCACCGGCUAACUCCGUGCCAGCAGCCGCGGUAAUACGGAGGGUGCUAGCGUUAAUCAGAAUUACUGGGCGUAAAGAGCACGUAGGUGGUUUUUUUAAGUCAGAUGUGAAAUCCCCUGGGCUUAACCUAGGAACUGCAUUUUGAAACUGAAAUACUAGAGUAUCGUAGAGGGAGGUAGAAUUCUAGGUGUAGCGGUGAAAUGCGUAGAUAUCUGGAGGAAUACCUGUGGCGAAAGCGGCCUCCUAAACGAAUACUGACACUGAGUGCGAAAGCGUGGGGAGCAAACAGGGAUUAGAUACCCGU